UAGGGAAUAUUGGACAAUGGGGGCAACCCUGAUCCAGCCAUGCCGCGUGAGUGAAGAAGGCCCCCGGGUUGUAAAGCUCUUUUGUCCGGAAAGAAAAGCUUCGGGUUAAUACCCCGGGGUUCUGACGGUACCGGAAGAAUAAGCACCGGCUAACUUCGUGCCAGCAGCCGCGGUAAUACGAAGGGUGCAAGCGUUACUCGGAAUUACUGGGCGUAAAGCGUGCGUAGGUGGUUGUUUAAGUCUGAUGUGAAAGCCCUGGGCUCAACCUGGGAAUGGCAUUGGAAACUGGGCAGCUAGAGUGCGGUAGAGGGUAGUGGAAUUCCCGGUGUAGCAGUGAAAUGCGUAGAGAUCGGGAGGAACAUCUGUGGCGAAGGCGACUGCCUGGACCAGCACUGACACUGAGGCACGAAAGCGUGGGGAGCAAACA
Molecule: ribosomal RNA, 427 nt
Filed under: uncultured bacterium
Lineage: Bacteria
Description: bacterial SSU rRNA
Rfam family: Bacterial small subunit ribosomal RNA
Source: RNAcentral